UACGGAGGGUGCAAGCGUUGCUCGGAAUUAUUGGGCGUAAAGUGUGCGCAGGCGGCAGAGCAAGUCGAGUGUGAAAGCCCCGAGCUUAACUUGGGAAUUGCGCUCGAAACUACUUUGCUGGAGUGUGGCAGAGGAAGGUGGAAUUCCAGGUGUAGCGGUGAAAUGCGUAGAGAUCUGGAGGAACACCGAUGGCGAAGGCAGCCUUCUGGGCCAACACUGACGCUCAUGCACGAAAGCGUGGGGAGCAAACAGG
RNAcentral lists this ribosomal RNA (253 nucleotides) under uncultured bacterium. Its description in RNAcentral is "partial 16S ribosomal RNA". It matches the Rfam family "Bacterial small subunit ribosomal RNA", at positions 524 to 776 of the family's 1533-position model. The record is from RNAcentral.